Molecule: long non-coding RNA, 277 nt
Filed under: Arachis ipaensis
Lineage: Eukaryota; Viridiplantae; Streptophyta; Magnoliopsida; Fabales; Fabaceae
Description: long non-coding RNA (AIPA_LNC002625)
Source: RNAcentral
AGUCUACCGCCCCCUCUUAAGGGGCUUAGUACAAGAUCUCAAAUCAGGUUCCCCCUCUUUCGUCAAUUAGUUGAUCGAGAAACCUCUGCCCAAUAGAGCAACGCCAAGAGUGGAUCAGGCCAUAUGCUUGAGUGGUUUAGCCCGCGAAGCCGGUCACCGGUAGGCCUAAGAUCCUCUUUUUGACAGAAGAGCCGAAAACCUGAUUAAGCUGUGCCGAAAUGAUCUUGCCGUGCUGCUAUUACCCUAAACAAAGUAGAGUCAAUGUGAAAGAAAGGUA